ACCCCUACGGGACGCAGCAGUGGGGAAUAUUGGGCAAUGGGCGCAAGCCUGACCCAGCAACGCCGCGUGAAGGAAGAAGGCUUUCGGGUUGUAAACUUCUUUUAUGAGGGACGAAACAAAUGACGGUACCUCAUGAAUAAGCCACGGCUAACUACGUGCCAGCAGCCGCGGUAAUACGUAGGUGGCAAGCGUUAUCCGGAUUUACUGGGUGUAAAGGGUGCGUAGGCGGCCUUGCAAGUCAGAAGUGAAAUCCAUGGGCUUAACCCGUGACCUGCUUUUGAACCUGUAGGGCUUGAGUGAAGUAG
Molecule: ribosomal RNA, 305 nt
Filed under: uncultured bacterium
Lineage: Bacteria
Description: bacterial SSU rRNA
Rfam family: Bacterial small subunit ribosomal RNA
Source: RNAcentral